UACGUAGGGGGCAAGCGUUGUCCGGAAUCAUUGGGCGUAAAGAGCGUGUAGGCGGCCCGAUAAGUCCGCUGUGAAAGUCCAGGGCUCAACCCUGGAAUGCCGGUGGAUACUGUCGGGCUCGAGUCCGGAAGAGGUGAGUGGAAUUCCUGGUGUAGCGGUGGAAUGCGCAGAUAUCAGGAAGAACACCAACGGCGAAGGCAGCUCGCUGGGACGGUACUGACGCUGAGACGCGAAAGCGUGGGGAGCGAACAGG
RNAcentral lists this ribosomal RNA (253 nucleotides) under uncultured bacterium. Its description in RNAcentral is "partial 16S ribosomal RNA". It matches the Rfam family "Bacterial small subunit ribosomal RNA", at positions 524 to 776 of the family's 1533-position model. The record is from RNAcentral.